Non-coding RNA from Pelobates cultripes (western spadefoot toad), 1031 nucleotides. NCBI's taxonomy places the organism in Eukaryota, Metazoa, Chordata, Amphibia, Anura, Pelobatidae. The record is from the annotation of a GenBank genome assembly.
UUGUAGUACAGCAGCAUAAAUUUUUAUUUAAUAACUCAUUUAUUUUUACAGGCAAGACAUCUUAUUAACAGAAGCUUUAUUCGGGUGUUGCAAGCUGUGGUUUCAUUUAUUCUGCCCCCUGUGCUACCCCCGCAAAAAAAUAAUCUGGUCACGCACCAGCAUUCCAUGAUGUUAACCAUUAUUCAUCAUACAUAUGAAAAUAUAGUUGCAAUUACUUUGCCAAGUCUUGAUUUAUGCCAUAUCCCUCAUGGUUUAUAUUGGUAUAGAUUGUAAGCUCAUUCAAGCAGGGCAUACUUCACCUCUUGUGUCUGUUAUUCUGUAUCUUCAUUUCUCUAGUGGUUUUGUCCCCAAAUGUAAGUAUUCCAUCAGUUUGACAACUUUCCUAAUGUCCGUCAGUCAUCAGCUCUAUGAAAGCCAGAAGCUCUCUCCAUUAAAGGACCACUGUAGUGCCAGGAACACAAACUCGUUUUCCUGGCACUAUAGUGUUAGUAGGUCCCUCCCACCCUUAUAGCCCCCUCCCGCCGGGCUCUAGGGGGAGGAAGGGGUUAAACGCUUACCUUUCGCCAGCGCCAGGCUCCCUCGGCGCUGGGGACUCACCUCCCUCUUCCGCCGCAUGCGCAGCAAGAGCCGCACUCGCAUUCAAUCAGUCCAUAGGAAAGCAUUCUCAAUGCUUUUUCUAUGGACGUUGGAGUCUUCUCACUGUGAAAAUCACAGUGAGGAGCACGGAAGCGCCUCUAGCGGCUGUCAAUGAGACAGCCACUAGAAGCUGGAUUAACCUUAAUGUAAACAUAGCAGUUUCUCUGAAACUGCUGUUACAACUGCAGUGUUAACCCUAGAUGGACCUGGCACCCAGUCUAGGUGCCUAUAGUGGUCCUUGAGACAUAAGCUUUGCAGUGCAGGUCUUAGCAGAUCUGCUGCUAGCAGUCAGCUGAUGCUCCAAGCCAAUGAGCACAACAAGGUUCGACUCAGGAGACGUAAUUGAAGCUAGUAGGAGCAUCUAUUUAUCCAAUGAGAAAGUGAUUUGUGACUGG